Molecule: transfer RNA, 74 nt
Filed under: Oscillospiraceae bacterium
Lineage: Bacteria; Bacillati; Bacillota; Clostridia; Eubacteriales; Oscillospiraceae
Description: tRNA-Gly
Rfam family: tRNA
About the family: Transfer RNA (tRNA) molecules are approximately 80 nucleotides in length. Their secondary structure includes four short double-helical elements and three loops (D, anti-codon, and T loops). Further hydrogen bonds mediate the characteristic L-shaped molecular structure. tRNAs have two regions of fundamental functional importance: the anti-codon, which is responsible for specific mRNA codon recognition, and the 3' end, to which the tRNAs corresponding amino acid is attached (by aminoacyl-tRNA synthetases). tRNAs cope with the degeneracy of the genetic code in two manners: having more than one tRNA (with a specific anti-codon) for a particular amino acid; and 'wobble' base-pairing, i.e. permitting non-standard base-pairing at the 3rd anti-codon position.
Source: RNAcentral
GCAGGUGUAGUUUAGCGGUAGAACUCCAGCCUUCCAAGCUGGUCGUGUGGGUUCGACUCCCAUCACCUGCUCCA